Molecule: transfer RNA, 73 nt
Filed under: Stegodyphus mimosarum
Lineage: Eukaryota; Metazoa; Arthropoda; Arachnida; Araneae; Eresidae
Rfam family: tRNA
About the family: Transfer RNA (tRNA) molecules are approximately 80 nucleotides in length. Their secondary structure includes four short double-helical elements and three loops (D, anti-codon, and T loops).
Source: Rfam by way of RNAcentral
GUCUUUGUGGUGUAAUGGUCAGCACGUUCGGCGCGUAUUCGAGAGGUUCGUGGUUCGAAUCCCAGCGAGGGCA